RNAcentral lists this ribosomal RNA (1355 nucleotides) under uncultured bacterium. Its description in RNAcentral is "bacterial SSU rRNA". It matches the Rfam family "Bacterial small subunit ribosomal RNA", at positions 28 to 1381 of the family's 1533-position model. The record is from RNAcentral.
AUUGAACGCUGUCGGCAGGCUUAACACAUGCAAGUCGAACGAUGAAACUCUAGCUUGCUAGAGAAGAUUGGUGGCGGACGGGUGAGUAACAUUUAGGAAUCUGCCUAGUAGUGGGGGAUAGCUCGGGGAAACUCGAAUUAAUACCGCAUACGACCUACGGGUGAAAGGGGGCGCAAGCUCUUGCUAUUAGAUGAGCCUAAAUCAGAUUAGCUAGUUGGUGGGGUAAAGGCCCACCAAGGCGACGAUCUGUAACUGGUCUGAGAGGAUGAUCAGUCACACCGGAACUGAGACACGGUCCGGACUCCUACGGGAGGCAGCAGUGGGGAAUAUUGGACAAUGGGGGCAACCCUGAUCCAGCCAUGCCGCGUGUGUGAAGAAGGCCUUUUGGUUGUAAAGCACUUUAAGCAGGGAGGAGAGGCUAAUGGUUAAUACCCAUUAGAUUAGACGUUACCUGCAGAAUAAGCACCGGCUAACUCUGUGCCAGCAGCCGCGGUAAUACAGAGGGUGCGAGCGUUAAUCGGAAUUACUGGGCGUAAAGCGAGUGUAGGUGGCUCAUUAAGUCACAUGUGAAAUCCCCGGGCUUAACCUGGGAACUGCAUGUGAUACUGGUGGUGCUAGAAUAUGUGAGAGGGAAGUAGAAUUCCAGGUGUAGCGGUGAAAUGCGUAGAGAUCUGGAGGAAUACCGAUGGCGAAGGCAGCUUCCUGGCAUAAUAUUGACACUGAGAUUCGAAAGCGUGGGUAGCAAACAGGAUUAGAUACCCUGGUAGUCCACGCCGUAAACGAUGUCUACUAGCCGUUGGGGUCCUUGAGACUUUAGUGGCGCAGUUAACGCGAUAAGUAGACCGCCUGGGGAGUACGGCCGCAAGGUUAAAACUCAAAUGAAUUGACGGGGGCCCGCACAAGCGGUGGAGCAUGUGGUUUAAUUCGAUGCAACGCGAAGAACCUUACCUGGUCUUGACAUAGUGAGAAUCUUUCAGAGAUGAGAGAGUGCCUUCGGGAAUUCACAUACAGGUGCUGCAUGGCUGUCGUCAGCUCGUGUCGUGAGAUGUUGGGUUAAGUCCCGCAACGAGCGCAACCCUUUUCCUUAUUUGCCAGCGGGUUAAGCCGGGAACUUUAAGGAUACUGCCAGUGACAAACUGGAGGAAGGCGGGGACGACGUCAAGUCAUCAUGGCCCUUACGACCAGGGCUACACACGUGCUACAAUGGUAGGUACAGAGGGUUGCUACACAGCGAUGUGAUGCUAAUCUCAAAAAGCCUAUCGUAGUCCGGAUUGGAGUCUGCAACUCGACUCCAUGAAGUCGGAAUCGCUAGUAAUCGCAGAUCAGAAUGCUGCGGUGAAUACGUUCCCGGGCCU